RNAcentral lists this ribosomal RNA (254 nucleotides) under uncultured bacterium. RNAcentral's name for it is "partial 16S ribosomal RNA". It matches the Rfam family "Bacterial small subunit ribosomal RNA", at positions 524 to 776 of the family's 1533-position model. The record is from RNAcentral.
UACGAAGGGGACUAGCGUUGUUCGGAUUUACUGGGCGUAAAGGGCUCGUAGGCGGCCAACUAAGUCGGACGUGAAAUCCCUCAGCUUAACCGGGGAACUGCGUCUGAUACUGGAUGGCUUGAGUUUGGGAGAGGGAUGCGGAAUUCCAGGUGUAGCGGUGAAAUGCGUAGAUAUCUGGAGGAACACCGGUGGCGAAGGCGGCAUCCUGGACCAACACUGACGCUGAGUGAGCGAAAGCCAGGGGAGCAAACGGG